UCAGACGAUGCGUCAUGCAUAUCAAUAAGCGGAGGAAAAGAAACUAACAAGGAUUCCCCUAGUAACGGCGAGUGAAGCGGGAAGAGCUCAAAUUUGAAAUCUUAAAGGGUUUCCCUUUACGAAUUGUAGUUUAAAGAAGUGUUUUCUGUUGAGGUUUUGGUAAAAGUUCUUUGGAAUAGGACAUCAUAGAGGGUGAGAAUCCCGUAUUUGACCUUUACUUUCAACUUUGUGAUACACUUUCAAAGAGUCGGAUUGUUUGGGAAUGCAGUCCAAAAUGGGUGGUAAAUUUCAUCUAAAGCUAAAUAUUGGCGAGAGACCGAUAGCGAACAAGUACCGUGAGGGAAAGAUGAAAAGAACUUUGAAAAGAGAGUUAAACAGUACGUGAAAUUGUCAAAAGGGAAGCGUUUGACACCAGUGUUGUCUUUCUGAAAAUCAAUUAAAGAACUGUUUAUGCUAAGUUGUUUAGACUUUAUCAGCUAACUGUUUAGUUUUGAGCUUUUCUUUAAUGCACUUUUCAGUUAACAAGUCAACAUCAAUUUCUUUUGCUGUAAAAAAGCUUGAGGAAGGUGGCUUGAGAUUCGUCUUAAGUGUUUAUAGCCUCUUGCCUAUGCAGUCGGAGAGAUUGAGGUCUGCAGCGUAGAUCCUUCGGGGCUAAAUGCAUUUGUGCUAAGUUAUAGCAUUUUAUAGACAACUUGUUGACUAUGAUUUGUCUUGUAGCUUACUCGCUUAUGUUAUUUUACCUACGCUUAGGAUGUUGAAUCUGUGCGAGACUAC
Molecule: ribosomal RNA, 774 nt
Filed under: uncultured Neocallimastigales
Lineage: Eukaryota; Fungi; Neocallimastigomycota; Neocallimastigomycetes; Neocallimastigales
Description: partial large subunit ribosomal RNA
Rfam family: Eukaryotic large subunit ribosomal RNA
Source: RNAcentral